RNAcentral lists this ribosomal RNA (459 nucleotides) under uncultured bacterium. Its description in RNAcentral is "partial 16S ribosomal RNA". It matches the Rfam family "Bacterial small subunit ribosomal RNA", at positions 338 to 795 of the family's 1533-position model. The record is from RNAcentral.
CCUACGGGAGGCAGCAGUGAGGAAUAUUGGUCAAUGGUCGGGAGACUGAACCAGCCAAGCCGCGUGAGGGAUGAAGGUACAGAGUAUUGUAAACCUCUUUUGUCAGGGAACAAAGGCGGGGACGUGUCCCCGGAUGAGUGUACCUGAAGAAAAAGCAUCGGCUAACUCCGUGCCAGCAGCCGCGGUAAUACGGAGGAUGCGAGCGUUAUCCGGAUUUAUUGGGUUUAAAGGGUGCGCAGGCGGUCUGUUAAGUCAGCGGUCAAAGCCCGGGGCUCAACCCCGGCCCGCCGUUGAAACUGGCAGUCUCGAGUUGGAGAGAAGUAUGCGGAAUGCGCGGUGUAGCGGUGAAAUGCAUAGAUAUCGCGCAGAACUCCGAUUGCGAAGGCAGCAUGCCGGCUCCACACUGACGCUGAGGCACGAAAGCGUGGGUAUCGAACAGGAUUAGAUACCCGAAUAGUC